RNAcentral lists this ribosomal RNA (497 nucleotides) under uncultured bacterium. RNAcentral describes it as "partial 16S ribosomal RNA". It matches the Rfam family "Bacterial small subunit ribosomal RNA", at positions 28 to 507 of the family's 1533-position model. The record is from RNAcentral.
GAUGAACGCUGGCGGCGUGCCUAAUACAUGCAAGUCGAGCGAACAGACGAGGAGCUUGCUCCUCUGAUGUUAGCGGCGGACGGGUGAGUAACACGUGGAUAACCUACCUAUAAGACUGGGAUAACUUCGGGAAACCGGAGCUAAUACCGGAUAACAUGUUGAACCGCAUGGUUCAACAGUGAAAGACGGUUUUGCUGUCACUUAUAGAUGGAUCCGCGCCGCAUUAGCUAGUUGGUAAGGUAACGGCUUACCAAGGCAACGAUGCGUAGCCGACCUGAGAGGGUGAUCGGCCACACUGGAACUGAGACACGGUCCAGACUCCUACGGGAGGCAGCAGUAGGGAAUCUUCCGCAAUGGGCGAAAGCCUGACGGAGCAACGCCGCGUGAGUGAAGAAGGUCUUCGGAUCGUAAAACUCUGUUAGUAGGGAAGAACAAAUGUGUAAGUAACUAUGCACGUCUUGACGGUACCUAAUCAGAAAGCCACGGCUAACUACGUG